UAGGGAAUCUUCCACAAUGGACGCAAGUCUGAUGGAGCAACGCCGCGUGAGUGAAGAAGGUUUUCGGAUCGUAAAGCUCUGUUGUUGGUGAAGAAGGAUAGAGGCAGUAACUGGUCUUUAUUUGACGGUAAUCAACCAGAAAGUCACGGCUAACUACGUGCCAGCAGCCGCGGUAAUACGUAGGUGGCAAGCGUUGUCCGGAUUUAUUGGGCGUAAAGCGAGCGCAGGCGGAAUGAUAAGUCUGAUGUGAAAGCCCACGGCUCAACCGUGGAACUGCAUCGGAAACUGUCAUUCUUGAGUGCAGAAGAGGAGAGUGGAAGCUCCAUGUGUAGCGGUGGAAUGCGUAGAUAUAUGGAAGAACACCAGUGGCGAAGGCGGCUCUCUGGUCUGCAACUGACGCUGAGGCUCGAAAGCAUGGGUAGCGAACAGGAUUAGAUACCCUG
This 443-nucleotide ribosomal RNA is filed under the name uncultured bacterium. RNAcentral describes it as "partial 16S ribosomal RNA". It matches the Rfam family "Bacterial small subunit ribosomal RNA", at positions 355 to 789 of the family's 1533-position model. The record is from RNAcentral.